Molecule: ribosomal RNA, 829 nt
Filed under: uncultured Gammaproteobacteria bacterium
Lineage: Bacteria; Pseudomonadati; Pseudomonadota; Gammaproteobacteria
Description: bacterial SSU rRNA
Rfam family: Bacterial small subunit ribosomal RNA
Source: RNAcentral
AGUCGAGCGGUAGAGAGAAGCUUGCUUCUCUUGAGAGCGGCGGACGGGCCCACUAAUGCCUAGGAAUCUGCCUAGUGGUGGGGGAUAACGUUCGGAAACGGACGCUAAUACCGCAUACGUCCUACGGGAGAAAGCGGGGGACCUUCGGGCCUCGCGCCAUUAGAUGAGCCUAGGUCGGAUUAGCUAGUUGGUGAGGUAAUGGCUCACCAAGGCGACGAUCCGUAACUGGUCUGAGAGGAUGAUCAGUCACACUGGAACUGAGACACGGUCCAGACUCCUACGGGAGGCAGCAGUGGGGAAUAUUGGACAAUGGGCGAAAGCCUGAUCCAGCCAUGCCGCGUGUGUGAAGAAGGUCUUCGGAUUGUAAAGCACUUUAAGUUGGGAGGAAGGGUAGUAACUUAAUACGUUGCUACUUUGACGUUACCGACAGAAUAAGCACCGGCUAACUUCGUGCCAGCAGCCGCGGUAAUACGAAGGGUGCAAGCGUUAAUCGGAAUUACUGGGCGUAAAGCGCGCGUAGGUGGUUCAGUAAGUUGGAAGUGAAAUCCCCGGGCUCAACCUGGGAACUGCUUUCAAAACUGCUGAGCUAGAGUACGGUAGAGGGUGGUGGAAUUUCCUGUGUAGCGGUGAAAUGCGUAGAUAUAGGAAGGAACACCAGUGGCGAAGGCGACCACCUGGACUGAUACUGACACUGAGGUGCGAAAGCGUGGGGAGCAAACAGGAUUAGAUACCCUGGUAGUCCACGCCGUAAACGAUGUCAACUAGCCGUUGGGAGUCUUGAACUCUUAGUGGCGCAGCUAACGCAUUAAGUUGACCGCCUGGGGAGUAC